Molecule: transfer RNA, 74 nt
Filed under: Limnohabitans sp. TS-CS-82
Lineage: Bacteria; Pseudomonadati; Pseudomonadota; Betaproteobacteria; Burkholderiales; Comamonadaceae
Description: tRNA-Gly
Rfam family: tRNA
About the family: Transfer RNA (tRNA) molecules are approximately 80 nucleotides in length.
Source: RNAcentral
GCGGGUGUCGUUCAAUGGUAGGACUUUUGCUUCCCAAGCAAAUAACGUGGGUUCGAUCCCCAUCACCCGCUCCA